This 253-nucleotide ribosomal RNA is filed under the name uncultured bacterium. RNAcentral's name for it is "partial 16S ribosomal RNA". It matches the Rfam family "Bacterial small subunit ribosomal RNA", at positions 524 to 776 of the family's 1533-position model. The record is from RNAcentral.
UACGGGGGGGGCAAGCGUUGUUCGGAAUUACUGGGCGUAAAGGGCUCGUAGGUGGCCAACUAAGUCGGACGUGAAAUCCCUCAGCUUAACUGGGGAACUGCGUCCGAUACUGGAUGGCUUGAGUUUGGGAGAGGGAUGCGGGAUUCCAGGUGUAGCGGUGAAAUGCGUAGAUAUCUGGAGGAACACCGGUGGCGAAGGCGGCAUCCUGGACCAACACUGACACUGAGGAGCGAAAGCCAGGGGAGCAAACGGG